AAAAUAGAAGUUUAAAAAAUAUCUGACCUGCAAUCAGAAGAAGGUGAAUUUCAUCCUAUUUUG
This 63-nucleotide transfer RNA is filed under the name Chthamalus malayensis. RNAcentral's name for it is "tRNA-Ala". Lineage: Eukaryota; Metazoa; Arthropoda; Thecostraca; Balanomorpha; Chthamalidae. The record is from RNAcentral.